CCUACGGGUGGCAGCAGUGAGGAAUAUUGGUCAAUGGGCGGGAGCCUGAACCAGCCAAGUCGCGUGAGGGAAGACGGUCCUAUGGAUUGUAAACCUCUUUAGGCGGGGAGCAAUGCCGGGCACGCGUGCCCGGAGGGAGAGUACCCGCAGAAUAAGCAUCGGCUAACGCCGUGCCAGCAGCCGCGGUAAUCCGGAGGAUGCGAGCGUUAUCCGGAUUUAUUGGUUUUAAAGGGUGCGUAGGCGGAUUUUUAAGUCAGCGGUAAAAUGUCCGGGCUCAACCCGGGCCGGCCGUUGAAACUGGGGAGCUUGAGUGGGCGAGAAGUAUGCGGAAUGCGUGGUGUAGCGGUGAAAUGCAUAGAUAUCGCGCAGAACUCCGAUUGCGAAGGCAGCAUACCGGCGCCCGACUGACGCUGAGGCACGAAAGCGUGGGGAUCGAACAGGAUUAGAUACCCUUGUAGUC
This 460-nucleotide ribosomal RNA is filed under the name uncultured bacterium. RNAcentral describes it as "partial 16S ribosomal RNA". It matches the Rfam family "Bacterial small subunit ribosomal RNA", at positions 338 to 795 of the family's 1533-position model. The record is from RNAcentral.